CGGCGCGCUUCCCCUUGCGCGACGGCGGCGGCGCCCCGCGGGCCCGGCGGCCGGGCAGGCGCUGGCAGUACAGCCCCUUCUCCGGCAGGUGCAGUGGAAACUGGAGAUGCUCAGCAGCCCUCCGGACCGAUGCAGAAGGAAACUGAAGGAAGCACAGUCCAUUCCUGCUGACCUGAGGGGAAACCAUCUUCUUCUUUAUCGCCCUAAGCAGUACAAACAAGGUUCUACCUUUACAGAACACACAUCUAAAUGAAUGGAAAUACUUUCUGUAAAACCCAUUACCUUCCUCAUUAGUACUUUAAAAAAACUCCUAUGUAUUAUUACUUAGCAAUAGCUAAGUGUGGUGGGUGUUAGCACACCCAGAUAAGGGGAAAUCACUACCCCCACAGCACACAAGAUUCUGCCUCUAUGUGGUUUUAUGUAUCUCCCAUCCAGCACUGAGUCCUCACAGUCUUUUUCAUCUCCCAGUGAAAAUGGUUCUGCCCAUCACAUCUUGGCAUUUAUGCCAUUAUCCAUUAAACUGCAGUGCUGUAUAUUUUAUGAGAACAAAAUGGUCUUGAGUUGACUUCAUACCUCAGAUAUGAACAGAGCUGUACAUAUCCCGGGAGACUAUUACUGCUUUCCUUUGCUAGCACAUCACAUGCAAAGGGGAAGGAAAAAAAGCCACAGGCUGCCUAUACACACUAAAUAAUCACAGGAAGCAAAUUAAUACUCAAAUCAUCAGAGUAAGAAUGAAUUUGAACAUUAUCGCUGUGAGGACUUAGAAGUACUUUAUACGUGUGCUUGCCUAAUGCCCUGUGAUGCUUGCAGCUACCUCUGCCCCUUCUCCCACCAGUGAAUGCACUUGAUGCAGAGGGGGGGAUGAUGGCUACUCUUGCUUCAGCAUAGCAGCAGAACAGGCAGGAAAUCCCCAGGGAUUAGCCUCUCCCCCAGCCCAAAGGCAAGUGUAAUCUGACAGCAUGGCUAGAUUUAUCUUUUGAACAAAAUGUGCUUUGGAAUUAAGCAGUCAAUGAGUUGAAUAAUAAUUAGAAAUUACUAUUUUCCUCUCUUUUGGAGUACUACUAUUGCAGAUUACUUCUCUUUUGAUCAUGAUUGGCAGAUAUUCUCUCAUGGUAAAAAAACCCACUGACUUAACUGCUAAUCACUUUGCUACAGUCAGGACCCAUGUAAUAACCCCAACAAUCCUUUGCUAAUGGUAGAAAACUUGGUAUGUCAGGUAUUUAGUCUGCACAAAAGGUUUGGAUUUUUUCCUAAUUUUAGAUACAGAUAUCACAGACAGAUUUGACAUUUGAACAGUGACCAUCUUCCAUCUAGCAGUCCGCCUUUCUCAGAGCAGAAAACAAAUAUUGCACAUGGUUAUGGCUCUGGCUCUGACUUUUUUAGUAUUUUUCUCUAUAGUGGUCCCACUUUUGAUUAUCCACAAAUAAAGAAACACUACCUCUAUCUCAAAUUACGUUUGAAAGUCUCUGGAAAAUUGCAAGAUUACUCAAGUUGGGUGUCUGCUCUUCCCCCAAAACACCUGACCACAGCCUGGGUUCUCCCUGGAGAAUAACAUGCUCCACCAAAGGCUGAGGGCACCUACUGUCAGACUCCCACUCUAAAUUCCUGUCUAGAAAGGACUUUCUACCUUGACUUUGAGAACUAUCCUGUCCUCAGAAGAAUUUAGUGUAAUGAAUGCACCACACUCUCCCUUGUAGGAAAUUAAUUAAGGUUUUGCAAAAGUAAUGUGGAACUGCCUAACCUGGGAAGACUCAGGUCACACAGCUUCACUUUGUGCCUUGUGGGAAAAUACAAGGGCGGAGGAAUAAGACCCCAACCCUGCAGAUGCUUUUAAGAACCUGACAGCAAGUAGCAAAGAUGAUGCAUUAAUUUACAUCUCUACCAACAUUUGAAAUAAUAUUUGCUACAGUAACUUAAUGCCCCAAGAAUACUUAAUGGUAUAAAGUAAACAUUCAUCACAAAUUAAGGUACACUGAAGAAGACUACAGUUUAAAGCAAUGUUAAGAGAAAAAUCAGAAUUUGCCACGUUUCUUUCCCUAUUUGGUAUAUAUUUAAUUUCAAAGGUUGGUCUUAUUUUGUUUAAGCUGGAGAUAAUUUUUCAAGUUCUUAAAACCACAAACAACAUACAAUUCUUGACAUUUAGAAAAAUGUCUACACCAAAAUUACAUCGUUUUCAGUGGACACAAGUCCAAUCUUAUUUCCCGUCAGUACUGCCAACUCUUAAUUAAAAAAAAUUCACAGCAUCCAAUUCUUUUCCUGUUGGCAACAUUUCUAGCACCUUUACCAGUUUGUCAUGUGGCAUGCUGUAAUUAAGACCGUCUAUUACUUCUAAUGAAAGACUAGAAUGAAUUACAGAAAUCACCCGCAGAGCUAUAUAAUCCCCAGAAGAACGGAGAUUACAGUGCAACAGACCAAAGAAACAACAUUUUUUGUUGUUUUUCUUUUAGUUGGAGAAACAUUUUUGAGUGAGGAGACCACAGGAUGGUCUGGCUUGGUAAUGACCAGUCAGCAUUUUGAAAAAACACUGGUGCUUAAACCAGGGAAUGCAAAAACCAUAAUUGGCAUUUCACAUACACACAUAUGUGUGUCAGGAGCAUAAUGUGUGCAGGAGGAACUGCAGAGCAAUAUGGUUUGGUAUCUCCAUUAAUAUUGGUAAAUGCAUCAUUCAAGACAGUGCCAGAAGGGAUUCUGUGUACUCUGCACAUUUAGCAGACGCUUAGCAGACUGACUCCUUUAGAAACAUUUCAGAGGGAUUUUUGUGUGUUGUCUAAUAGGAUUGCGGGGUUUUUCUAUCCAGGAAACCAAACAUCCUAAUUGGGAGGGGCCAAAUCCUUAGCUGCGCAAGAUUUGCCCUGGACACAGUGAAGAUGACCCGGGAAGAACGGUCAUGCUUAGUUGAUUUUCCCUUUCUCAAAUUUGGAUCCACUUAGGCUUUACACACUCCCCUUCUGCUUGGUAAUCUAGUUUGGGCAGCUGCAGCAGCCAGGACUUUGUCUUCUAUAUUCGACCUAUUCAUCCAACUACAUACUUCAUUUAAUUUGCCAAAUGCUCCCAUUCAGGCAAGAAUCUGGCCCCACAGAGAGGUACUUCUGCCAUCUGCUUUAGACAUUUAACUACAGCUUAGUUCAGGACACCUACAUUUAAAAGCCUAAGUUCCCAUUCAGUCAAUGAGAAAGGCACAUGCUACAGUCCAACACGGAUAAGGUCUCAGAAAAGGAGAAAAAUAUUUAAUAUGAUAGCAAGUGUUUAACAUGUUCCAAAGUAGUUCAGGGUGGGCCUUUCCACUACAAAAAGGCACUGCUAUUAUUGUCAGAUCUUUUUCCUUUUGAACUAUUAUGAAAUUAAACAAGUGACCCACGGGGAUCAUAGAAGUCCCAUGUUCUCACGGUUUCUCCUAGUUCAGUUUGGGCUAGGCAGCAGCCUUACAGGCUAUAGAUUUGAGAUUUAUUAGCGUCCUAGGUGCUGAGCUGGAAUUAUUUUAUGGGUAAAUUCCAGAUCUAUGGGGUGAGACAAAGGUUUAGCACACUCCCCAGUUAAGGAAAACUGGUAUUUGGCUAACAAAGUUCAAGGGUACAGUGUAUGAUGCACCUAUCACACAGGUGUAACUGUGUAGAAUAUAUGAUUAGUAUCGAUGCAGCAGAAAAGACUUGAAGAAAUGAAUUUAGUUGCACCAGUUUGUGACCAACAGCUGCUGCAUUCCAACUAUGAGGGAAGAACAAAGGCAACUUGGCUCCCUGGAAGCAGUUCAGAUAGAGGCAUUUCUGCUCAAUUUAUUUAUAAUGCCUGCAGCAAGCUUCGAAAGGUUCACUACUGCAUGUUUGCCUCAACACAGUUACAGGAAUAAAUUUAAACGUAUGAUCUUGCGCUGUUCAAGUGAAGUACAAGCAAUUCUGGACACUGCAAUGUGCACUGAUCAGCAGCUUAAUGAUAAGUGACAUCUUUUUGUAGUAUUGAUGAACUUAAGGUUUGGGAGGAAGAAGUGAAAGCAAGAGUAACUCUAUUAUGGGAAGAAGGACACAGAGAGGCAUUACAUUAAGUUGCAUGAAGUCUUCCAAAGCCUACUUAAGUGGAGUGGAGAAUAUGUAUUAUGAAGUGUGAUAGGUAAUACCGAACUGUUUCACUAACUGUAUAAUGUUUCUUGGCAAAGCAUUUUGAAGACUGCUUUCAAAAUGAAAUUCCCCACACAUGAUUAUCUAUGAUUUCCAUGCAAAGGUACUGUAGUCAAACAAAAUUGUAAAGAGACUUUAAGCUUUGUUUCUGCAGGGAAGGAAAUGGCAUCAGUAGCAACUGAAAAAAUCAAUUAAUAUUUAUUUAUAAAUCCUGAUCCUGUUAGAAUAGUAUGAACUUUGAUUGCAAAUACCAUUUCAAAGGUAUAUAUCUGUAGCAGAGAUUUUCUAUAAACCACUUUCUUCAAACACUUGCCUUUAAAAAAAUAGAGUUCUAAAUACAUUGUGAUAGAAUUCAAAAGGUGUGCUAGUUAAUGGCUGUAAAAAAUUGCUUUGAAAAGGGUUUAAACAUGAAGUGUAUAUAACAGACUUCAGCACUGGAUACUUCUAAUAAAUUUCAUAUUAUGUUUUAAGAGCAGGGAGAUUUCACAGACAGGCUUAAUGUAAUACAGUAUCACUGUGUCUCCAGCAGAGCAGAACUCCCCUCUGAAGGUCAUACAUCCUGUCCUCUUUGCUGGUUCCCUGUAGUUGGGCACAGAACUUGCAACAUAUGCUUCGAUGCUUAGGUUAUUUUAAAGGAGUACAGCCAAAGCUAUCAUACGCCCGUUAAUGAAGGGAACAGAUCCAUGCACUCUUUCUUGGUGAUAACACCAGCUUAAAGAUGUCCCAAUCUCACCUGCUCAUUCCCGUCCCUGAAUGGCUCUUGCCCUUAUUUCUGCAGGAACAAAUCUGUAGAAACACCCUGAGAACCAGAUUCAUUAACUGAUGCAGGGUAAAGAGAGAUGGAUUAAAGUUUUUACCCUUGGGGUUUUCUUUUUUCUUUCUUUUAGAACUAGUCAACUAGUUUAAAUUUCCACCAUGCCCUCACAAACAACUGAGCCAGCAGAAGCAAAUGAGCAAUUCACAGGCAGGGCACAAACUCCUUGAGCCAGCUACACCACUGAGAAAAAGGUACGAGGAACUAUGACUCGAGUGUCCCAUGCAGAGAGGAUAAGCCUAUUAUUUACACCUAGAGCCAUCACUCCCUCAGCUAUAGUUUCAUGUGCAUUUAAGCCAGCACAGCCACUGGGAAUAAGAAAAAAACCAAACAGUUCCUGCACUUGUGGCUGCCCUUGGCCAUUCAUUUCUAUGCUUGCAUCGCCUUUUAAGGUGCCACCACAGCCUUCGUUGUAUGGCUCUGUGGUCAACUAUGGUGGCAACAGACCUUGGGUCAUCUUUUUGCUAGGCUAUUUUCCAGCCAGGUCAGAUUCCUCAUCUCCCUCACUGACCAGCCACACACACGUCUGUGCCUGCAUAGCAGGACGUACAGCCCGCUCUCUCCUUUUUAACCUCCCCAAGCCCCCAGAAGAGCUACCUUACCUUGAACUCUCACAAAACUACAAAGGCAAGGAACUGGGGGGUUUGGGCUUUGUCCUCCCAACCCAGAGGACUGUGUUAUUACCAGAACAACUUAUCCACAUUGAAAAAAAAAAUUCAGUCUGUGAUAAAUGGAAAUGGACACUCAAAGAUUUACCACAAAACAAGCACAACAAGGUGAACCAGAGGCAGGGGGUAUAAUGCCAACCUUCUUUAAACAUGUCAUGUUGUAACUCCAGAAAGCUUGUCUCAUUAGAACUAUAUUAUUUCACUGAAUAAAACCAAUGAAAACAGAACGUUUUUCUUCCCAAAGCAUUUUUCUUCUUGUUAAAGAAAAAGAUAAAUUAAAACAAAAUAUCAGUGCA
Molecule: long non-coding RNA, 5887 nt
Organism: Corvus hawaiiensis (hawaiian crow)
Lineage: Eukaryota; Metazoa; Chordata; Aves; Passeriformes; Corvidae
Exons: 2
Source: RefSeq, a predicted model, not a curated record